RNAcentral lists this ribosomal RNA (577 nucleotides) under uncultured bacterium. RNAcentral's name for it is "bacterial SSU rRNA". It matches the Rfam family "Bacterial small subunit ribosomal RNA", at positions 338 to 916 of the family's 1533-position model. The record is from RNAcentral.
CCUACGGGAGGCAGCAGUAGGGAAUAUUGGGCAAUGGACGCAAGUCUGACCCAGCCAUGCCGCGUGCAGGAUGAAGGCGUUAUGCGUUGUAAACUGCUUUUAUACAGGAAGAAACGACUCUUGCGAGAGGCAUUGACGGUACUGUAUGAAUAAGCACCGGCUAACUCCGUGCCAGCAGCCGCGGUAAUACGGAGGGUGCAAGCGUUGUCCGGAUUUAUUGGGUUUAAAGGGUGCGCAGGUGGUUUAUUAAGUCAGUGGUGAAAGACGGUCGCUCAACGAUUGCAGUGCCAUUGAAACUGGUAGACUUGAGUAAAGUAGAGGUGGGCGGAAUUGAUAGUGUAGCGGUGAAAUGCAUAGAUAUUAUCAAGAACUCCAAUUGCGUAGGCAGCGCACUUGGCUUUUACUGACACUCAUGCACGAAAGUGUGGGUAUCAAACAGGAUUAGAUACCCUGGUAGUCCACACUGUAAACGAUGAUAACUAGGUGUCGGCCGAAUCUGGUCGGUGCCACAGCGAAAGCGUUAAGUUAUCCACCUGGGGAGUACGCCGGCAACGGUGAAACUCAAAGGAAUUGACGG